GUGCCUAACACAUGCAAGUCGAGCGGUGCAGACUGGCAGGCUUCGGCCGAAGGCUGCAUAGCUGGCGGAAGGGUGCGUAACGCGUAGGAACGUGCCCCCUGGAGGCGGAUAGCCGCGGGAAACUGCGGGUAAACCGCCAUAGACUCGGGAGAGUAAAGGCCGGAAGGCGCCAGGGGAGCGGCCUGCGUCCCAUCAGGUAGUUGGUAGGGUAACGGCCUACCAAGCCUACGACGGGUAGCCGGUCUGAGAGGAUGGCCGGCCACAAGGGCACUGAGACACGGGCCCUACUCCUACGGGAGGCAGCAGUGGGGGAUAUUGGACAAUGGGCGAAAGCCUGAUCCAGCGACGCCGCGUGGAGGACGAAGCCCUUCGGGGUGUAAACUCCUUUUGUCGGGGAAAAAGGGCUGAUGGUACCCGACGAAUAAGCCCCGGCUAACUACGUGCCAGCCGCCGCGGUAAUUCA
RNAcentral lists this ribosomal RNA (463 nucleotides) under uncultured Fervidobacterium sp. RNAcentral's name for it is "bacterial SSU rRNA". It matches the Rfam family "Bacterial small subunit ribosomal RNA", at positions 44 to 527 of the family's 1533-position model. Lineage: Bacteria; Thermotogati; Thermotogota; Thermotogae; Thermotogales; Fervidobacteriaceae. The record is from RNAcentral.